Molecule: ribosomal RNA, 580 nt
Filed under: uncultured Curvibacter sp.
Lineage: Bacteria; Pseudomonadati; Pseudomonadota; Betaproteobacteria; Burkholderiales; Comamonadaceae
Description: bacterial SSU rRNA
Rfam family: Bacterial small subunit ribosomal RNA
Source: RNAcentral
GCAGUCGACGGCAGCACGGGGGCACCCUGGUGGCGAGUGGCGAACGGGUGAGUAAUACAUCGGAACGUGCCCAGUCGUGGGGGAUAACGUACGAAAGCUACGCUAAUACCGCAUACGAACUGAGGUUGAAAGCGGGGGAUCGCAAGACCUCGCGCGAUUGGAGCGGCCGAUGGCAGAUUAGGUAGUUGGUGGGGUAAAGGCUCACCAAGUCGACGAUCUGUAGCUGGUCUGAGAGGACGACCAGCCACACUGGGACUGAGACACGGCCCAGACUCCUACGGGAGGCAGCAGUGGGGAAUUUUGGACAAUGGGCGCAAGCCUGAUCCAGCCAUUCCGCGUGCAGGAUGAAGGCCCUCGGGUUGUAAACUGCUUUUGUACGGAACGAAAAGGCCUUUUCUAAUACAGAGGGCUCAUGACGGUACCGUAAGAAUAAGCACCGGCUAACUACGUGCCAGCAGCCGCGGUAAUACGUAGGGUGCAAGCGUUAAUCGGAAUUACUGGGCGUAAAGCGUGCGCAGGCGGUGAUGUAAGACAGGUGUGAAAUCGGCUUAACCUGAACUGCAUUUGUGACUGCAUCGCU